RNAcentral lists this long non-coding RNA (816 nucleotides) under Dromaius novaehollandiae (emu). Its description in RNAcentral is "lncRNA (ENSDNVG00000013605.1)". Lineage: Eukaryota; Metazoa; Chordata; Aves; Casuariiformes; Dromaiidae. The record is from RNAcentral.
CGGGGAAGGCGCCUCGGCGGCUCGCCGCCGCUCGCGGGCGGAUGUGCAGCGGACAGCUUGGCUGGGGGAUUGAAUGAAAGCAGGUCAGUUCAUAAAGCGAGCUGAACUUCCACCUCUUUCUUUGGGGUUUUGUCGAGUCGAGUAACGAAGGCUGUGGAAACGCUGUUGAAGGGCAGAUCGUUCCCCUUGUGCAGGCUGUUAGUGAAAAGAGCGUGCUGCGUUCAUCCAGAUACCUCUGCUGCUGGAGGACCUGCAGGUGCAUCGCUUUUCUUCUAACAGGAGACAGAAUAAAGAAAAUCAACUGAACAAGAGAAGACAAUAGUACCGCAGUGGUGUCGCCCCUCUUACCGGCGAUCACAAGUGGAUGUUUCUUCUCACGAGGACAGACAGUGAAGUUCUGGCCCUCUUUCAUUCCCCUUAACUUCUAGGAAGAGGACUCCUGUGCUACGUAUGUCGCAAACAGUCUUUGUGAGGGCUGUGAGGCCAGAAAUAAAUGCCAUCAAAGGUGAAACAGUUCAUCUCAUGGAGCUGAUAUUAUGUGCCCAAGUACUGGACUCUUCUCAGCCCCCGAUCUCUACGAUGAGUGGGAUAGGCUGUGUAUCACUUCAUUUAUGCUGUUUCACACUGACUGGUAAGUUUUCAAAGCAGCAUAAGAAAGGUAGUAUGCUUCCACAAAUAUUACUACUUUUAUAUAGGAUAUUAAUAUUUGUUGCCCCACUAUUUUAACAGUUAAUUCGUUAUAUAAAAGUAUUUUACCACACUUGCUUUUCUUACAUGUUAUGCCCAGGAAUUUGKUUUUUUUCCUCAUUAAAUCCU